RNAcentral lists this ribosomal RNA (548 nucleotides) under uncultured Photobacterium sp. RNAcentral describes it as "bacterial SSU rRNA". It matches the Rfam family "Bacterial small subunit ribosomal RNA", at positions 54 to 591 of the family's 1533-position model. Lineage: Bacteria; Pseudomonadati; Pseudomonadota; Gammaproteobacteria; Vibrionales; Vibrionaceae. The record is from RNAcentral.
CAAGCAAGUCGAGCGGUAACAGGAAUUAGCUUGCUAAUUUGCUGACGAGCGGCGGACGGGUGAGUAAUGCCUGGGAAUAUGCCUUGAUGUGGGGGAUAACUAUUGGAAACGAUAGCUAAUACCGCAUAAUGCCUACGGGCCAAAGAGGGGGAUCUUCGGACCUCUCGCGUCAAGAUUAGCCCAGGUGGGAUUAGCUAGUUGGUGGGGUAAUGGCUCACCAAGGCGACGAUCCCUAGCUGGUUUGAGAGGAUGAUCAGCCACACUGGAACUGAGACACGGUCCAGACUCCUACGGGAGGCAGCAGUGGGGAAUAUUGCACAAUGGGGGAAACCCUGAUGCAGCCAUGCCGCGUGUAUGAAGAAGGCCUUCGGGUUGUAAAGUACUUUCAGUUGUGAGGAAGGCGGUAACGUUAAUAGCGUUGCCGUUUGACGUUAGCAACAGAAGAAGCACCGGCUAACUCCGUGCCAGCAGCCGCGGUAAUACGGAAGGUGCGAGCGUUAAUCGGAAUUACUGGGCGUAAAGCGCAUGCAGGCGGUCUGUUAAGCAAG